RNAcentral lists this ribosomal RNA (497 nucleotides) under uncultured bacterium. RNAcentral's name for it is "partial 16S ribosomal RNA". It matches the Rfam family "Bacterial small subunit ribosomal RNA", at positions 28 to 507 of the family's 1533-position model. The record is from RNAcentral.
GAUGAACGCUGGCGGCGUGCCUAAUACAUGCAAGUCGAGCGAACGGACGAGAAGCUUGCUUCUCUGAUGUUAGCGGCGGACGGGUGAGUAACACGUGGAUAACCUACCUAUAAGACUGGGAUAACUUCGGGAAACCGGAGCUAAUACCGGAUGAUAUUUUGAACCGCAUGGUUCAAAAGUGAAAGACGGUCUUGCUGUCACUUAUAGAUGGAUCCGCGCUGCAUUAGCUAGUUGGUAAGGUAACGGCUUACCAAGGCAACGAUGCAUAGCCGACCUGAGAGGGUGAUCGGCCACACUGGAGCUGAGACACGGACCAGACUCCUACGGGAGGCAGCAGUAGGGAAUCUUCGGCAAUGGGCGAAAGCCUGACGGAGCAACGCCGCGUGAGUGAUGAAGGUCUUCGGAUCGUAAAACUCUGUUAUUAGGGAAGAACAUAUGUGUAAGUAACUGUGCACAUCUUGGCGGUACCUAAUCAGAAAGCCACGGCUAACUACGUG